Neopsephotus bourkii (Bourke's parrot) is the source of this 471-nucleotide long non-coding RNA. RefSeq lists it as uncharacterized. The transcript has 3 exons. Lineage: Eukaryota; Metazoa; Chordata; Aves; Psittaciformes; Psittacidae. The record is from RefSeq and is a predicted model, not a curated record.
GGUUGGGUUUUGGUGGUGUUUGUUCCAGAAGUGGAGUAUGCAGCUGAAAAUAUAGAAAGAUGUUUCUGAGUUAGGGGAAGCCAGAAACAGGAGCUAAACCUGACUGUGAGCUCACAUUAUUGUUUAAGGCAUGGGAAAACUGCAAGAAGCAGAAUCAUUGCCUCCCAAACACAGUAAUUGUGGAGACCAGACAUCCCUUUAACAAACAAUAGCACCAUCUUUAAGUUGGCAUCUCUAGAUGAAUGGUGGAACCAGGAGAAAAAGGUUGUUCUCCUUGUGAAUACAGUUGUCUUGUGUGAGGCAGUCUUUCUCAAAGGCGGUUUGAUGCUUGCUGGCCCCUUGGAAACUACCUUCACCUUGAAAGUAUCAUGCUGAUGUAAUGGUCUGCUUUUGGCAAUCCUGCCAGCAACCCUGUGGAGUCUUUCAGUUGGAGCUGUGGAUAGGCAGUUUUCCAUUCUCUGUGACUGGAAG